UGGGGUGUAGCUCAGUGGUAGAGUGGAUGCCUAGCAUGUGUGAAGCUCUGGGUUCAAUUCCUAGCUCUACAC
Molecule: non-coding RNA, 72 nt
Organism: Heterocephalus glaber (naked mole-rat)
Lineage: Eukaryota; Metazoa; Chordata; Mammalia; Rodentia; Bathyergidae
Source: Rfam